This 83-nucleotide transfer RNA is filed under the name Fibrobacterota bacterium. RNAcentral describes it as "Fibrobacteres bacterium tRNA-Leu". It matches the Rfam family "tRNA". From Rfam's summary of the family: Transfer RNA (tRNA) molecules are approximately 80 nucleotides in length. Their secondary structure includes four short double-helical elements and three loops (D, anti-codon, and T loops). RNAcentral also lists the same sequence under 1 other name. The record is from RNAcentral. Lineage: Bacteria; Pseudomonadati; Fibrobacterota.
GCGGUCGUGGCGGAAUUGGUAGACGCGCUACUUUGAGGUGGUAGUGAGGGUUCCUCGUGGGAGUUCAAAUCUCCCCGACCGCA